Molecule: ribosomal RNA, 465 nt
Filed under: uncultured bacterium
Lineage: Bacteria
Description: partial 16S ribosomal RNA
Rfam family: Bacterial small subunit ribosomal RNA
Source: RNAcentral
GACGAACGCUGGCGGCGUGCUUAACACAUGCAAGUCGAACGGAAAGGCCCUGCUUGCAGGGUACUCGAGUGGCGAACGGGUGAGUAACACGUGGGUGAUCUGCCCUGCACUUCGGGAUAAGCCUGGGAAACUGGGUCUAAUACCGGAUAGGAGCCAUUUUUAGUGUGAUGGUUGGAAAGUUUUUUCGGUGUAGGAUGAGCUCGCGGCCUAUCAGCUUGUUGGUGGGGUAAUGGCCUACCAAGGCGGCGACGGGUAGCCGGCCUGAGAGGGUGGACGGCCACAUUGGGACUGAGAGACGGCCCAGACUCCUACGGGAGGCAGCAGUGGGGAAGAUUGAACGAUGGGCGCAAGCCUGAUGCAGCGACGCCGCGUGGGGGAUGACGGCCUUCGGGUUGAAAACUCCUUUCGCUAGGGACGAAGCUUUUUGUGACGGUACCUAGAUAAGAAGCACCGGCUAACUACGUG